Molecule: long non-coding RNA, 284 nt
Filed under: Sus scrofa (pig)
Lineage: Eukaryota; Metazoa; Chordata; Mammalia; Artiodactyla; Suidae
Description: lncRNA (ENSSSCG00055011370.1)
Source: RNAcentral
AAGGCAAAGAUUUCUAGGAAAGACAACUUCAGCAAAUCUGUAUUAUGAUCCUACUUGCCAAUUUCCUAUUUUUCUAUAGGGUACCUCUUAAGGGCUGGGGUCAUGCGAAUUCAUUCCUGGCUUCUGAAGCAUCAGGAAUGGAACUCUGGCAAUCAUAUCUCUACUGCAUGAUCCAAACCUGGAUGUAGCUGCCUGGAGGGGAGGGCAGGGGCUUGGGCUGUUUGAUUAAAUUAGAUCUACAGAAGUUUGACUUAAUUUUAUUUAUUUAUUUAUUUAUUGCUUUC